RNAcentral lists this ribosomal RNA (301 nucleotides) under uncultured bacterium. RNAcentral's name for it is "partial 16S ribosomal RNA". It matches the Rfam family "Bacterial small subunit ribosomal RNA", at positions 509 to 807 of the family's 1533-position model. The record is from RNAcentral.
CAGUAGCCGCGGGAAAACAGAGGGUGCGAGCGUUAAUCGGAUUUACUGGGCGUAAAGCGUGCGUAGGCGGCUUUUUAAGUCGGAUGUGAAAUCCCUGAGCUUAACUUAGAAAUUGCAUUCGAUACUGGGAAGCUAGAGUAUGGGAGAGGAUGGUAGAAUUCCAGGUGUAGCGGUGAAAUGCGUAGAGAUCUGGAGGAAUACCGAUGGCGAAGGCAGCCAUCUGGCCUAAUACUGACGCUGAGGUACGAAAGCAUGGGGAGCAAACAGGAUUAGAUACCCCCGUAGUCCCUGUCUCUUAUAC